AAGAAAAAGACUAUAUAAACCCUAAUAAUACUUUAUUUGGUCUAUAUGCUAUUGCACAAAGGUUUAAAUUGUUUUAAACUUCUACCUGGUAAUGUGCAAAGGAAUUAGGUGAAACAGCCAUCCAAUCAUGUAAAUGUGAAACAUACAUUUUAUGUUCUUGUACUUGCAGGAUACACUGAAUUGUUUAGCAAUAACAAGAACAGGUUUCAUCAAUAUGCGACACUCUUUCAAUGCUUUAUAACAACAUAAAGAAACAAUUGUGUGUGGUACACUGCACCGUAAAACUGAAAUGUUGAACAAAUGCCACAAAAUCACAAGAUUAUCGUGUUUUUGCGAGAGAGGCUCUAAGGCUAGGCAUAUUCUAGAGUGCCUCAAGUGUUCUUUGCUUAGUUCGUUUUUAACAACGAUACCUGUUGAAAAAUUGACCGAGCAACACAUGCACACAAAUUAGAUACGAUCACAGAGAAGGGGAAGAAACACCACACAAGGAAUUUUAGGUGAUUCAGCUAUGUGUCUGCAUCCAUGGAGAGCCACCUCUAAUUUUUUUCAAUAUAAAGGAGAAAUUGAAAGUGCCUGUUAACAUAGUUGGUAGAGUUUUCCUUUUACAAGAAGGAAUAGGAGAAACUCACAAUUACAAAAAUAUCCCUUAUAAUUAGAAUCGCCCUAGACUAGCUGAGAUGUAACAUACUGUAACACUCCUCACCUGUCUAUAGUGUAGUCGAGCAAGGUGCGCUACAUUUGGUGCCGGAGCACCCUAU
This 758-nucleotide unclassified non-coding RNA is filed under the name Hevea brasiliensis (rubber tree). The record is from RNAcentral. Lineage: Eukaryota; Viridiplantae; Streptophyta; Magnoliopsida; Malpighiales; Euphorbiaceae.